UAUAUCGUAUAGCUAUUUAUAGUUAUAUUUUUAUAUAUAUAUAUGUAUAUUUAUAUGUAUAUGUGUAGUUGAGUGAGUAAAGAAUUAGAGUUUUUCAGUGGUUUGGCAGGAGUUGCAAGGUUGAGAGAAUGGGGUUUACAAAGGAGAUGACUUGUGUUUUGAAGAGUUUUAAAUAAAUUAUGUUUUGAGUAAUUAAAUAUUGAAUUGUGAACCUACAUGACUUGAGCAUUAUUUUUACACGGUGGGGUUACUAUAUUGUUU
RNAcentral lists this long non-coding RNA (261 nucleotides) under Prunus persica (peach). Its description in RNAcentral is "long non-coding RNA (PPER_LNC002382)". The record is from RNAcentral. Lineage: Eukaryota; Viridiplantae; Streptophyta; Magnoliopsida; Rosales; Rosaceae.